GCCAGUGUGGUUUAGUUGGCUAUAACGUGUUCGAUACGGUGGUAGCUCGCACCGCCCGUCGAGCAGGACCCGAGUUCGAUCCUCGGCGCUGACC
Non-coding RNA from Lophium mytilinum, 94 nucleotides. The record is from the annotation of a GenBank genome assembly. Lineage: Eukaryota; Fungi; Ascomycota; Dothideomycetes; Mytilinidiales; Mytilinidiaceae.